Molecule: transfer RNA, 84 nt
Filed under: Marmota monax (woodchuck)
Lineage: Eukaryota; Metazoa; Chordata; Mammalia; Rodentia; Sciuridae
Description: tRNA.Thr
Source: RNAcentral
GGGGUUGUGGCUCAGAGGUAGAGCACUCACCUAGUGUGCUCUCUUAGCAUGCGUGAGGCACUGGGUUUGAUCCUCAGCACCACA